This 253-nucleotide ribosomal RNA is filed under the name uncultured bacterium. Its description in RNAcentral is "partial 16S ribosomal RNA". It matches the Rfam family "Bacterial small subunit ribosomal RNA", at positions 524 to 776 of the family's 1533-position model. The record is from RNAcentral.
UACAGAGGGUGCGAGCGUUAAUCGGAAUUACUGGGCGUAAAGCGCACGUAGGCGGCUUGGUAUGUCGGGUGUGAAAUCCCCGGGCUCAACCUGGGAACUGCAUCCGAAACUGCCUUGCUCGAGUAUGGGAGAGGGAAGUGGAAUUUCAGGUGUAGCGGUGAAAUGCGUAGAUAUCUGAAGGAACAUCAGUGGCGAAAGCGACUUCCUGGACGAAUACUGACGCUCAUGUGCGAAAGCGUGGGGAGCAAACAGG